RNAcentral lists this ribosomal RNA (253 nucleotides) under uncultured bacterium. RNAcentral's name for it is "partial 16S ribosomal RNA". It matches the Rfam family "Bacterial small subunit ribosomal RNA", at positions 524 to 776 of the family's 1533-position model. The record is from RNAcentral.
UACGUAGGCAGCGAGCGUUGUUCGGAGUUACUGGGCGUAAAGCGUGCGUAGGCGGUGUCUUAAGUUUGUUGUGAAAUCUCCCGGCUUAACCGGGAGGGUGCGGCGGAAACUGGAGUGCUUGAGGGUGGGAGAGGUAAGCGGAAUUCCUGGUGUAGCGGUGAAAUGCGCAGAUAUCAGGAAGAACACCCGUGGCGAAGGCGGUUCUCUGGGACGGUACUGACGCUGAGACGCGAAAGCGUGGGGAGCGAACAGG